RNAcentral lists this ribosomal RNA (347 nucleotides) under Clostridioides difficile. RNAcentral describes it as "bacterial LSU rRNA". It matches the Rfam family "Bacterial large subunit ribosomal RNA", at positions 2378 to 2724 of the family's 2925-position model. The record is from RNAcentral. Lineage: Bacteria; Bacillati; Bacillota; Clostridia; Peptostreptococcales; Peptostreptococcaceae.
AGACAUACAGGUCGAGCAAGGAUGAAAAUCGGACUUAGUGAUCCGGUGGUUCUGCGUGGAAGGGCCAUCGCUCAACGGAUAAAAGCUACCCUGGGGAUAACAGGCUUAUCUCCCCCAAGAGUCCACAUCGACGGGGAGGUUUGGCACCUCGAUGUCGGCUCAUCACAGCCUGGGGCUGUAGUAGGUCCCAAGGGUUGGGCUGUUCGCCCAUUAAAGUGGUACGCGAGCUGGGUUCAGAACGUCGUGAGACAGUUCGGUCCCUAUCCGUCGCAGGCGUAGGAAAUUUGAGAAGACCUGUCCUUAGUACGAGAGGACCGGGAUGGACGUACCUCUGGUGUACCAGUUGU